AAUAGUCUUGCGGGACUAUUAGAGCCAACGGUGAGAUACCACUCUAGUAAAGAUAAAAUUCUAACUCUAUACCGUUAUCCGGAUAGAGAACAGUUUCAAGUGGGCAGUUUGACUGGGGCGGUCGCCUCCUAAAAGGUAACGGAGGCGUGCAAAGGUUCCCUCAGGCUGGUUGGACAUCAGUCGAAGAGUGUAUAGGCAUAAGGGAGCUUGACUGCGAGACCCACAAGUCGAGCAGAGACGAAAGUCGGCCUUAGUGAUCCGACGGUUCCGAGUGGAAGGGCCGUCGCUCAACGGAUAAAAGUUACUCUAGGGAUAACA
This 318-nucleotide ribosomal RNA is filed under the name uncultured eukaryote. RNAcentral describes it as "LSU rRNA". It matches the Rfam family "Bacterial large subunit ribosomal RNA", at positions 2162 to 2479 of the family's 2925-position model. The record is from RNAcentral.